ACUUCUCCUGAAGUUUAUAUUAAACAUUUAUGGCUAUUAGAUGGGUAUGCGUCCUAUUAGUUAGUUGGUAAGGUAACGGCUUACCAAGGCAGCGAUAGGUAGGGGUCCUGAGAGGGAGAUCCCCACACUGGUACUGAGACACGGACCAGACUCCUACGGGAGGCAGCAGUGAGGAAUAUUGGACAAUGGGCGAGAGCCUGAUCCAGCCAUGCCGCGUGCAGGAAGACUGCCCUAUGGGUUGUAAACUGCUUUACAGAGGAAGAACCACCCCACGUGUGGGGGUUUGACGGUACUCUGCGAAUAAGGAUCGGCUAACUCCGUG
This 322-nucleotide ribosomal RNA is filed under the name uncultured bacterium. RNAcentral describes it as "bacterial SSU rRNA". It matches the Rfam family "Bacterial small subunit ribosomal RNA", at positions 183 to 507 of the family's 1533-position model. The record is from RNAcentral.